RNAcentral lists this ribosomal RNA (490 nucleotides) under uncultured bacterium. RNAcentral's name for it is "partial 16S ribosomal RNA". It matches the Rfam family "Bacterial small subunit ribosomal RNA", at positions 30 to 507 of the family's 1533-position model. The record is from RNAcentral.
AUUGAACGCUGGCGGCAGGCCUAACACAUGCAAGUCGAAUGGUAACAGGAAACAGCUUGCUGUUUCGCUGACGAGUGGCGGACGGGUGAGUAAUGUCUGGGAAACUGCCUGAUGGAGGGGGAUAACUACUGGAAACGGUAGCUAAUACCGCAUAACGUCGCAAGACCAAAGAGGGGGACCUUCGGGCCUCUUGCCAUCAGAUGUGCCCAGAUGGGAUUAGCUAGUAGGUGGGGUAACGGCUCACCUAGGCGACGAUCCCCAGCUGGUCUGAGAGGAUGACCAGCCACACUGGAACUGAGACACGGUCCAGACUCCUACGGGAGGCAGCAGUGGGGAAUAUUGCACAAUGGGCGCAAGCCUGAUGCAGCCAUGCCGCGUGUAUGAAGAAGGCCUUCGGGUUGUAAAGUACUUUCAGCGGGGAGGAAGGGAGUAAAGUUAAUACCUUUGCUCAUUGACGUUACCCGCAGAAGAAGCACCGGCUAACUCCGUG